RNAcentral lists this unclassified non-coding RNA (210 nucleotides) under plant metagenome. RNAcentral's name for it is "partial contains small subunit ribosomal RNA, internal transcribed spacer 1, and 5.8S ribosomal RNA". The record is from RNAcentral.
UCUCCGUUGGUGAACCAGCGGAGGGAUCAUUACUGGAAUCGCAAGAUCCCACAACCCCUGUGAACCUACCGAAACGUUGCCUCGGCGGGCGCCCGGCCCUGCGCCGGGGGCUGAGCCCGCCGGCGGCCCCCUACUCUUGUCUCUGCAGCGUGGCAUCUCAGAGUCCCAGAAAACAAGUAAAAACUUUCAACAACGGAUCUCUUGGCUCUA